RNAcentral lists this ribosomal RNA (1378 nucleotides) under uncultured bacterium. Its description in RNAcentral is "16S ribosomal RNA". It matches the Rfam family "Bacterial small subunit ribosomal RNA", at positions 28 to 1399 of the family's 1533-position model. The record is from RNAcentral.
GACGAACGCUGGCGGCGUGCUCCUCACAUGCGCGUCUAACGAGGAUCAGUUGAUUGAGAGCUUCCGCAGGAUUGAACUUGAUUCGAGUGGCGGACGGGUGAGUAACUUCGUGAGCAACCUGUCCCAGACAGGGGGAUAACACUUGGAAACAGGUGCUAAUACCGCAUAAGACCACGGUAUCACAUGGUACUGGGGUAAAAGGUGUAAACCGGUUUGGGGUGGGCUCGCGUCCGAUUAGAUAGUUGGUGAGGUAACGGCCCACCAAGUCAACGAUCGGUAGCCGACCUGAGAGGGUGAUCGGCCACAUUGGAACUGAGAGACGGUCCAAACUCCUACGGGAGGCAGCAGUGGGGAAUAUUGGGCAAUGGGCGAAAGCCUGACCCAGCAACGCCGCGUGAGUGAUGAAGGCCUUCGGGUUGUAAAGCUCUGUUAUAGGGGACGAAGGAAGUGACGGUACCCUAUAAGGAAGCCCCGGCUAACUACGUGCCAGCAGCCGCGGUAAUACGUAGGGGGCGAGCGUUGUCCGGAAUGACUGGGCGUAAAGGGCGUGUAGGCGGCCGAUUAAGUGUGGAGUGAAAGUCCUGAUUUCAAGUUGGGAAUUGCUUUGCAGACUGGUUGGCUUGAGUGCAGAAGAGGUAAGCGGAAUUCCCAGUGUAGCGGUGAAAUGCGUAGAGAUUGGGAGGAACACCAGUGGCGAAGGCGGCUUACUGGGCUGUAACUGACGCUGAGGCGCGAAAGCGUGGGGAGCGAACAGGAUUAGAUACCCUGGUAGUCCACGCGGUAAACGAUGAAUGCUAGGUGUUGCGGGUAUCGACCCCUGCAGUGCCGGAGUAAACACAAUAAGCAUUCCGCCUGGGGAGUACGGCCGCAAGGUGGAAACUCAAAGGAAUUGACGGGGGCCCGCACAAGCAGCGGAGCAUGUUGUGUAAUUUGAAGCAACGCGAAGAACCUUACCAGGUCUUGACAUCCGAUUAAACUAUAAGAGAUUAGAGGUCCUUUCUUGGGAAUCGAGACAGGUGGUGCAUGGUUGUCGUCAGCUCGUGUCGUGAGAUGUUGGGUUAAGUCCCGCAACGAGCGCAACCCUUAUGGUCAGUUUCUAACAUGUAGAGGUGAGGACUCUGACAAGACUGCCGGGGACAACUCGGAGGGAGGUGGGGGGGACGUCAAAUCAUCAUGCCCCUUAUGACCUGGGGUACAAACGUGUUCCAAUGGUGAUUACAAAGAGGAGCGAGGCCGUGAGGUGGAGCGGAUCUCAAAAAAGUCAUCCCAGUUCGGAUUGUGGGCGGCAACCCGCCCACAUGAAGUUGGAGUUGCUAGUAAUCGCGGAUCAGCAUGCCGCGGUGAAUACGUUCUCGGGCUUUGCACACACCGCCCGUCA